Macaca mulatta (Rhesus monkey) is the source of this 117-nucleotide unclassified non-coding RNA. It matches the Rfam family "Metazoan signal recognition particle RNA". Rfam says of the family: The signal recognition particle (SRP) is a universally conserved ribonucleoprotein. The record is from Ensembl. NCBI's taxonomy places the organism in Eukaryota, Metazoa, Chordata, Mammalia, Primates, Cercopithecidae.
GCCGGGCAUGGUGGCUCAUGCCUGUAAUCCCAGCACUCUGGGAGGCUGAAGUGGGUGAAUCACUUGAGGUCAGGAGUUCAAGACCAGCCUGGCCAACAUGGUGAAACCCCGUUUCUA